GAAAUGCGAUAAGUAAUGUGAAUUGCAGAAUUCAGUGAAUCAUCGAAUCUUUGAACGCACCUUGCGCUCCUUGGUAUUCCUUGGAGCAUGCCUGUUUGAGUAUCAUG
RNAcentral lists this ribosomal RNA (107 nucleotides) under Leptoporus mollis. RNAcentral's name for it is "partial 5.8S ribosomal RNA". It matches the Rfam family "5.8S ribosomal RNA", at positions 50 to 154 of the family's 154-position model. Rfam says of the family: 5.8S ribosomal RNA (5.8S rRNA) is a component of the large subunit of the eukaryotic ribosome. Lineage: Eukaryota; Fungi; Basidiomycota; Agaricomycetes; Polyporales; Irpicaceae. The record is from RNAcentral.